Molecule: ribosomal RNA, 263 nt
Filed under: uncultured bacterium
Lineage: Bacteria
Description: partial 16S ribosomal RNA
Rfam family: Bacterial small subunit ribosomal RNA
Source: RNAcentral
UUUAGUGGCGGACGGGUGAGUAACACGUGAGCAACCUGCCUUCGAGAGGGGAAUAACGGCUGGAAACGGUCGCAAAUACCGCAUAACGUACGGAUGGGACAUCCUGUCUGUACCAAAGAUUUAUCGCUCGAAGAUGGGCUCGCGUCCGAUUAGGUAGUUGGUGAGGUAACGGCCCACCAAGCCGACGAUCGGUAGCCGGACUGAGAGGUUGAACGGCCACAUUGGGACUGAGACACGGCCCAGACUCCUACGGGAGGCAGCAG